This 241-nucleotide ribosomal RNA is filed under the name uncultured Lactobacillus sp. Its description in RNAcentral is "partial 16S ribosomal RNA". It matches the Rfam family "Bacterial small subunit ribosomal RNA", at positions 122 to 355 of the family's 1533-position model. Lineage: Bacteria; Bacillati; Bacillota; Bacilli; Lactobacillales; Lactobacillaceae. The record is from RNAcentral.
UAGCCUGCCCAAGAGAUCGGGAUAACACCUGGAAACAGAUGCUAAUACCGGAUAACAACAGAUGAUGCCUAUCAACUGUUUAAAAGAUGGUUCUGCUAUCACUCUUGGAUGGACCUGCGGUGCAUUAGCUAGUUGGUAGGGUAACGGCCUACCAAGGCGAUGAUGCAUAGCCGAGUUGAGAGACUGAUCGGCCACAUUGGGACUGAGACACGGCCCAAACUCCUACGGGAGGCAGCAGCCC